AAGGCUUAGGUUUCACAUUAGAAAAAGAUAUUUUUAAAAAAAUGAGGAAAAGUUAGAUCUUAAAUAAUAGCACACAGAAGAGAGUUUUGUACUGCCUGAUACUUUGAAAGGCUACCCUACCUCUACCGAGGUGGGACACCAUCGUACACCGCCACAAUGAACUUUCUUUCGCCCCACCAAGACAAAAGCAUUGCAGGCAACAAAGUGGAUAUUAGUCAGAAAAAGAAAAAAAAUUGAAAUUGAAAAAAAAAAGAAAAAAAGGUGAGUAAAGAAGGAACAAAUAAGGCUUAGGUUUCACAUUAGAAAAAGAUAUUUUUAAAAAAAUGAGGAAAAGUUAGAUCUUAAAUAAUAGCACACAGAAGAGAGUUUUGUACUGCCUGAUACUUUGAAAGGCUACCCUACCUCUACCGAGGUGGGACACCAUCGUACACCGCCACAAUGAACUUU
This is a non-coding RNA of Parasteatoda tepidariorum (common house spider), 447 nucleotides long. The record is from RefSeq and is a predicted model, not a curated record. Lineage: Eukaryota; Metazoa; Arthropoda; Arachnida; Araneae; Theridiidae.